This 400-nucleotide ribosomal RNA is filed under the name uncultured bacterium. Its description in RNAcentral is "bacterial SSU rRNA". It matches the Rfam family "Bacterial small subunit ribosomal RNA", at positions 29 to 414 of the family's 1533-position model. The record is from RNAcentral.
AACGAACGCUGGCGGCGUGGAUUAGGCAUGCAAGUCGAACGCGAAAGAGGGAGCAAUCCCUCAAGUAGAGUGGCGAACGGGUGAGUAACGCGUGAAGAACCUGCCUUCAACAGGGGGAUAACACUCCCAACGGGGUGCUAAUACCGCAUGAGACCACGGGUCCGCAUGGACCUGAGGUCAAAGGUGGCCUCUGCUUGCAAGCUACCGGUUGAAGAUGGCUUCGCGUCCCAUUAGCUAGCUGGCGGUGUAAAAGACCACCAAGGCGACGAUGGGUAGCUGGUCUGAGAGGAUGGUCAGCCACACUGGGACUGAGAUACGGCCAGACUCCUACGGGAGCAGCAGUCGAGAGCUUUGGCAAUGGGGAAACCCUGACCAAGCGACGCCGCGUGGAGGAUGAAGG